AGUGUCAACCUGAUGCAGCUGAGAUACGUCGAGGUUGAGUGCACACUAUUUUACAUGCCUCCCCCUUACCCCACAUAUGGUCCAAAAUAAACUGUGGGACCUGAAUCAUAUUUUUCAAAAAGAGAACAUUAUCAAACAUAGUUACAGAAAGUAAUAAUAUUAAGUCUAGUUUUAAAAGAUUAAUGCUAUGCUACAUUAAGCAGGAAAAACUAGUCCACAGUGCAAAGAAAACAUCAAGAAAUGUUAAAAGCAUGUCAUAUACAUCCUGAAAUGACUGAUGAACACAAGCGGACUAAUGAAGCUUGUCAUAAAAAACAAAUAAUCUAAUGAGUAUAAAAAACUAAUCAAGAUUCAUAACUCUCAAUUAUAACAAUGAUAUUGCACUCUUGAACAUGCAUGUCCACAAAUAUGCAAGAUCAGUUCAAGUCUUGAUACUCCAUGCUCUCCCUUCUUUUGUAAUUUUUAAAAAUCCAAAAAGUGACAUCCACAGGGCUCCGUAUAGAAGCUUGCAAGUAAAGGUACCAAAUUUCCUAUGCAGGCAGGUUUUUAAAUGGUAAAAUCAACCAGAAUAUGUUAACAGUAUAGACAAUGAUAUCCAUGCAACUUAUGUCACUAUCAAGACCAAGGAAAGGAAAAAAAGAUGUUGCCAUAUAAAGAACAAAAUAAAUUAAAUGGACUUCUUUUGAAACAGAACCAGACAACUUAUUAUAAAUAUACCAUAAAGAAGACAAAGCAAAGAAAUCAUAACCUGUGUGGUCUUUCCGCACCCAGUCUCACCAGAUAUAAGAAUUACCUGCUUUCAAAUAGGAGAUUAACAAUAAGUCCCCGAAGUUGAGAAGGAAUCCAUUCAAUUCAAACAAAGGUUCAAUGAAGUAGCAAAACAGAGUUUCUAGUAACGAGUAACAGACCCCACUAUGUUGAGAUAAGGACACAUCGCAUAUCUAAUUGAUACUAGGAAAUUUCAAAAAUAAUAUCACGCAUAAUGUGAUCUGCCGCGUGAACAACUAGCUAAUAAUUUCAAACACCAAUCAUGUGAAUGUUCAAAUUAACCUGAUGAGAUUCAACUGCUGAUGUAAUGACAUCCCUGUAGGAUGUAAUUGGAAGCUUAGACUUCUCUUUGGUGAUCUGCACGCAUAAAUUCACAGAAACCUGUCAUGCUGAGCCUAUUAUUAUGCAAAAACUAUGACUUAAAAUGAUGUAGAUGAUAAUAGAGGUGCAUCAUCUGUUAAAUCAGAAGAACCUUUCUCAAUUUAUCGGAAUUCUUUAUUCUAGAAGCAAGUGAUUGCACUUUCUUUGCAAUUUCUGCCUUGGUCAUCAAAGGCUUGCAAAACAUACUAUCUUUCUUCCGCUUGGCUUUCACAUUCUCAUUACUAUUUGUCCCAUACAUUUCUCUGCCCUCCACUUCAUCACCGGGUGGGUAACACAUGAACAAGUCCCUCAAUACUUCUUUUGUGCCUUCGGAAAAUGUCAGAUGAGUGAGCUUUGGAAUACCAUCAACGGCUGCAGCCUUCUUUUUAGGUUUAUAAACAGACACAACACGUUUUUUCCCACUCCUACAGAGUUCAGGUUUAUCAUCAGUUUAAAAAAACCUGUGCAGAUAAGAAAGCUGAAAUUUUCCUCUUUUGUUUUGGUGCCCAAAAAUAUGGAAGCAUGUAAGCUUCUCUUAAAUUAAAAUAUACAACAUUUUGGUCAUUAUCAACAAGACAUAACUACCAGCACUCACCCUUUACUCUUGGAUUUCAUACCCAUUUUCCUGCAUUGUUGAUGCACUUCAGCACGGUCAUGGUUCGAGAGACCGGCCUCAAAUGUGUAAACUGCAGGCAGAUUCCGAUAAUGUUAAAAAAACCAUUCAUACAAUGUGAAAAAUUAAACAAAAUCAAAUACUUGGUCCUUUUAAAUUCGCACCAAAUACCAAGUAAGUUCCUGAAACGCUCCUCCCGACAAAAUAAAAAGGAAGCAAACAUGGAUUCAGAUCGCAUUAAAGUAUUAAAUUUCAUUAGCACCCAGUUUUAAGCCAUGACUUUAUUCAAACACUUCACCUUCGUCAUCAGCGGAAUUGAAGCGGGAGAGUAAUUGAGCUAUUCGGUUCCUCAUGCUUUCUGGAACUUUACUGUUUUGUUGUUGGCCGCCUCUGUUCUUCUUCGCCAUGUCUAUUGCUUCUUCCUUUGGCUCUGGUCCUCUUCCCUUUUGUCUGUUCGUUAAAUUCCGAAUCUGAAGCAGCCGUUGGCGCCCAGAGGAAUGUAAAGCUUUGAAGAAGAAGAAGAAGAAGACGAGAUUCAGUGGAGUUGUCGAAGAUUUGGGUCUCGCUCUCCUCUGCCCUGAAUAGUCGGCGUCUGCUAUGAAAAUGGAGUUUUCAGUUCUGCUAUGUGUUUCGUAAAUUACCCUUGCCCUUUGCCCUUCCUCCGCAUAUGCUUUUUUAUGCUUGGCAUAUGUAAAGCGGUGCCCGCGCCGCUAAGUUAAACCCUCCAUCAUAUUUACACUUCCAAUUUGUUAUUUUCUUUAAUUUUUUGUUCCUUUAUUAUUUUUAAAAAAAAAUAAUAAUUAACGAGCAUGAUUUGAAUUUGGCCAUAUUUUAACAAAAUUAAGAUAAAUAAAAUUUCUCAAUAAAUAAAGUCUACAAUAUUCUCAGAAUAAAAACAAGUAAAACCCUAUCCCAUCAGUUGAUGUCUAUAAUAUUUCAAAUGACAUUUCAUCAGAGAUAAAACUCCUUAUUAAGUAUGUUCCACUUCUAUUAAAAUGUGAUCUCAAUGGAAUUCACAAAUGUGUGCAGACUCAAUUAAAACAAAACAAUUAAAAAUAUAUAUAUGAUAUGAAAACCCUAGUUUAUCUAUCUAUAUAUAUAAAGCAAAAGGCAGAGAAUGGUGAAACAUUCAAAAUACCAGAAAAUGCCCUUUGUUAAUGCAAACAUUAAGAAUUCAAAUUAUUAAUUAAAUGAGGAUAAUAUGAUAAAUUCACACUUUUUCAUAUUAAAAAAAUUAAAAUUAAAAGAAAAUUCAGAUAAUGGGUCCUAUUUUUAUGGAACACAAAUAUCCAUGAUCUUUUUUAAUUCUAAAAUAAAUUUAAAUUUUUUUUAAAAAAAACCUCUCGCAUGCGCGGAAGCGCGUGCAGAGAAGCUAGUAUAUUAUAUAUCUACAUGCUAACGAGCUUUGACUUGCAGAUCAGUAGUCUCAUGAAGAAAAGAAAAAAUAGGUGUAGAUAUUAAACUAAGCCCAGCCCAACUUACAGGAAGUGAGCCAACAUUGGCCCAAAUGUGAACUGCCAACCAAGCCAGCAAAUGUUGUGGUAGGCAAAAGCCUAAUGCGAAGACUGUGAAACCCCAGCCCUAAGCCAGUACAAGUAGAGAGGAGAACUUACAAGACUCAUCUCUCUCUGACCCUCUCUCGCCUCUAUAUAACCCCAUUGAGUUGGUUUCCUCCACGCAAAAGAGAAACUCAGUGUGUUAUACGACAAAGGUACCUGAUACUUUAUUCAUUCCUUGAAAAUACAUAGCCUCUACCCAAUAUACAAUAACCCAUUGGGCAUUGAUUGUAAUUUGCAAUCUGCUAUUUCUUUUUUUUUUCUUUCUCUUUUUUGGAUUUCACGAAAUUUUCUCAUAUUAUCUAUCACCUUAAUCUGCUGCUUGCUCACCUAUAUUACUUUUAAUGUGCCGACAAAUGAGAAAAAAGCAAGUCCUUGUUUUGGAUGCUUUGGUCUCCUAUUCUUCCUCAUACCCAUUAUUGAUUGUUGAAUCCUGAACCUGUUCCUGUGUUGGGUUCAUUUACUUUUGAUCGGAAUCGGUUCCCAAAGCGAAAUCGGUAUCUGGGUACCCUGGAUUUUGCUUGUUUAUUACCUCUAAAUUUGGGCAAAUCUUGUGACGGCUUCUAUCCUCUUGGUUGGUUCUCAUUUCUUGCUGAACGUUCUUGUUUGGGUAUUUGUUUUGGUGUUCAAUAUGGUUUUUAUCUGUCAUGUUUUCUCAUUGUUAUUUUUCGAGGUCAGAUUUCAUGUUUUGGUUUGUUUUGAUUGCUUACUAUAGUGGGAUUCUUCUACUUUUGAUUGUUCCUGAUGUGGGUUUUGAUCUAUUAUCACCAGGGAUUUGUUUUUAGGUGUUGAAAUCGUUGGCUUCCCCUCUUGGUAAAUGUUAGCAUUUCUUGAGCAUCUUAUGGACUGAAAUAAGACUCAUUCUGUUUGCUUAAAUGGGAUAUCAUCAGUUUAGUGUGUUUCUUUUAAGCUCUUCAUGAUUCAUGGUAUAAAUAAUUUGGUGAUUGAUGUACAUUGUGGAUCAGUCAAUUAUUGACUCCUUUGCCAUUUGUCUUUAACACUUUUGUUUAAUGAUGGAGUUUCUCAACCUUGAAGUCAUUGAAUGGACUUGCAGAAAUUGCAAUUUUUCGGUCACAAAAAAAAAUUUUUAUUUUACGGCUUCUGGUUACAAUCAGUUUAGUAAAGAGAUUUUUAAUGCUAUAUGUAGAAGGUAUUUUCAUCUUAUUAACUUCAUCUUGUAUGAAGUUUCAUUCAGGGCCUUUGCUCGAGCAAUUUGAAAGAUUGGUUCCUUUUGUGAAAAUGUUUUGGAUAAUCAUAAUCCAUUGUCUAAACUGGAAUUAUUGCUGAUCCUCCUCCAAUCUUGAUUCAGUUGGGAAAUGCUGAAAGUGUAACCUUAAAUUACUUUUAGAAUUCAGCUUCAGUUUAAUUAUAAUCUUACUUUCCCACCCCAUCUUCGUUUCACUAGAAUAUCUUGGUAGGUUUUGUAUGAUUGGGUUCUUACUUUUGUGUACUCUAUUUAGAGAUUUUGAUGAUGUGAUUGAUGGAGUCAAGCUUUAAGACAUUCAUUACCAUUUUUACUGUAUUAUGCAGGUGUUUGUUUCUUGUGACUAACUGGAGGCUCUUAGAACUUUGAAAAUAUCUGCUUCUUGUUUUUCUACCGCUGUAAUAAUAUAUGGGCUGAGGUGCACAUUUCAUGGGAGGUGUGGGAGAUGAAGAACCAGCCACAAAACGCAUGAAAUUAUCCCCUGGACAAUUGAGAGGUCUAUCCAACGGUUCAUCUAUUACAGAGCCUGUAGCUGGCUCUUCAAGAGACUUGAUGGCUCGGCCCCUAACAUCUGAAGGGGACGAAGAGGUUGUUGGUUCAAAAGGAGUUAUUAAGAGGGUGGAAUUUGUCCGACUAAUAGCAAAGGCACUAUAUUCUCUUGGCUAUAAGAAAAGUAGUGCUCAUUUGGAAGAAGAGUCUGGGAUACCGUUGCACUCUUCUGUGGUAACUCUUUUUAUGCAGCAAAUUCUGGACGGAAAUUGGGAUGGAAGUGUCGACACAUUGCAAAAAAUUGGUCUAUCAGAUGAAAACAUUACUAAAUCAGCCUCCUUUAUGAUAUUGGAGCAGAAGUUCUUUGAACUUCUAGAUGAUGAAAAAGACAUGGAUGCACUGAAGACAUUGAGGACUGAGAUUGUACCUCUCUGCAUCAAUGGUAGUAGAGUUCGUGAGCUUUCUUCCUGCAUAGUUUCGCCUUCAUUUGGUGGGACUCCUGGUAAAAACAUUGCAAGGGCCAAGUCUCGGCCAAAGUUACUGGAAGACUUGCAGAAACUGCUUCCCCCAACAGUUAUGAUACUUGAAAGACGGUUGGAACAUUUGGUUGAACAGGCCCUAGUCUUACAACGUGAUGCUUGCAUUUUUCACAACUCCUUGAACGAGGAAAUGUCUUUGUACACUGAUCAUCGAUGUGGGAGAGAUCAGAUUCCUUCUCGAACAUUACAGGUUGGUAAAAAAAAAAUUCUGAUUAAUGGUUGUAAGCUCUAAUUAGAGCUUUGUAUACUUAUUGAUUUUACUUAUUUGGUCAUAUUUCAUAUGAUGAAUGAAAAUCAUGUUCAUUAUUUGUUGUCAUAUGAGGUAUCACAUCUUAAACUGUGAAGUUGAGUAAUAACAGUGAAUGUGUCACUUUAAGGUAAGCUAAGAUUAUAGUACUCAGUCUUGGUUAUCAGGGGUUUUAUGGACCCCGUGAGAAGAGACUGGCCUUUCUGUUAGGUAAGUUAAGAUGGUUUUUCCCAGUCUUGUUCUUUUAGUCCUUCUAAUUAGUUUGACCUGAAAAAUAAACCAAGGAGUUUAUCAGAAAUUAAUUAAAGUGAGCAAGUGAUUCAAGGAGGCUGCUGUUUAUAACCCUCCACAUGUCUGUGGAGAGUUUCAAAUUCAAAAAAUAAUACUAGGGUAAGUAGUUGUUCAUCUAAGUGUAGGAUUUGUAUGGGGGAGGCAAAGUAGUACAAUUAAUUGACCAGAUUGGACAUGUGGAACUUGAUAGCCUUCUUUGGAAAAACUAGUGUUAGAUAAUAUGUUCUCAUCAGGCAAAGAGUAACCAGUGUGGUUCAGCUUACAAUUCAUAAGCCUCUAAAAUUUGAUAGAACAUGAAAUUCAAGUCUUUGUGGCAUUGUAUUGUCCUUUCGUUACUGAUAACACUUUAAAUAUCAAGGGUCCUGGUUUCUUUGCUACUUCCUGUCUUUAAAUCUUUGCUGUUAUUAUCAGCAUUGAGAAUGGUAUAUUGCCAUUUCCAAGCAUCCUUGUUAAGUGUGCUCUUGUCUGAGUUAAUGUGUGGAGGAAGAUACUGACCAAGGUCUUGCGGAGCUUAAUCUAUGUCUGAUUCCAUCAUUGUUGACUUCACUUUCUUUUUUGCUGUCUACUUUAGUGCCAUCUCUCGUAAUUUGCAUCCACUCGUUAUAUUUUCUGUGUUUUGUUAAUUUGUUAUGUCAAUGACAAUUGUCUAAUCUCUCUCUCUGGUUACUCUUUUAUUAUGUGUUUGUUGUACAUAUGCUAUUUACCUUGUCUAGAUUAACCAUUCUUACAUUUAUAAAGGGCACUUUGAAUCUGGUUUUACAUACAUAUUAGUCAGAUCUUGGUUCUAAACCUUUCUUAUCACUUUCAAUUUUACAGAUAUUACAAGCACACAGUGACGAAGUCUGGUUUCUGCAAUUUUCACACAAUGGGAAAUACUUAGCUUCAUCAUCAAGUGAUCGAUUAGCAAUCAUAUGGGAGGUAACAUCAAUACUAUGUGGAACUAUUUCUUAAUCUUGCGUAUGCUGCCCUCUUCUCCAUUUUAUAUUUUUCAUUGUUGAUGCAAUGGGUCAAAUUUGAUUUCUACCUAUGUAUCUGCGUGCAUCUAUAGAUGGGCAUCUUCAGUAUAAAUCUAUCAAUUAUUUCUGCCUCCUCUUCUUCACAUCUAAUGUUUGUAUUGCAGUUCCCAUGUUGCCCUUCCAUCUCUGUUGGCACUUUUGAUUUCUCUGUUGCUAGUUUUUCACGAGAUAUCAAAUAUAUGUUCUCAUUAUGUAGUCCCCUAAUGCAAAUUAUUUUGAAAAUGCAUGGAAUAUUUCAGCGCUAUAACUGGUUUUCAUCUUCCCCAUUCUUUUCCUGUCGUCCGGACUUUGUUUUUGUUUGUGUGUGUAUCUGCAGCCUUAGAUGACCCUUUUGGGACUAAUGGAGGUGAAAUAAUGAUUUGUAUACUCAUUUAUAGAUAUGUUGUGCAAAAGAAGAAGAAAAUUACUAGGAAUUCAUAUCAAAUAUGAUCAGUUUUCAUCAUACUUUUGGCUUAACUUGGCUGAGCUUGGCACGCAAAUCUAGGCUCAAUACCAUGUCUGAGCACAGCCCAGCCCCAGCUCAAGCCACUGGUUCUGAGCUGGCUUGGAAUACAAUCCCAUGUGCAUGCAUGGUUGACAGGUGGACCAAUAGUUACCUGUUGUUCUAUUGUUGCAACUUGCAAUACAAAUUUUUUAAAAGAAAAUAGCAGUUGGGUUGGAAUUAGAUUGGAAAGCUCUGCGUGUAAUUCUUAUUUAAUGAUAUGCAACGCUUUUUGUUUUUUUAUAUUUUGAUCCUAUUAUCCUAGAUUUUUAUACCCUGAUCAUUUUCUUGUUGGGUAUAGGUUGAUGUGAAUGGUUGUGUUUCUUUAAAGCAUAGACUAUCUGGUCACCAGAAACCUGUUUCCAUAGUUUCAUGGAGUCCUGAUGACCAUCAGCUCCUCACCUGUGGAGUGGAGGAGGUGGUCAGGCGUUGGGAUGUUUCUUCUGGUGAAUGCCUCCAUGUUUAUGAAAAACCUGGUCUUGGUCUGGUGUCCUGUGGAUGGUUUCCAGAUGGAAAAUGGAUAUUCUCUGGUGUCAGUGACAAGAGCAUCUGCAUGUGGGAGUUAGAUGGGAAGGAGCUGGAGUGCUGGAAAGGCCAACGAACUUUACGAAUCUCUGAUUUGGAGAUAACCAGUGAUGGGAAGCAAAUUAUAAGUACUUGUAGAGAUAAUGCUAUAUUACUACUUGACAGGGAAGCCAAAGUUGAGAUAUUGAUUGAAGAGGAUCAAACUAUAACUUCUUUUUCAUUAUCAAGAGAUAAUAGGUUCUUGUUGGUUAAUCUUCUGAACCAAGAAAUCCAUCUCUGGAGCAUAGAAGGUGAAAUCAAGCUUGUUGCUAAGUACAAAGGUCACAAACGCACCCGAUUUGUUAUCAGGUCUUGUUUUGGUGGACUUGAACAAGCUUUCAUCGCUAGUGGUAGUGAGGAUUCACAGGUAAAGAAUUUGGUUUCUUCCUUCUGAGGCCUCUUCUUUUUGCUUGUGUUUCUUGUGAUUAAGCAUAAGGCUUAUGUCUGGACAAAUCAUUUAGGAGGCAGAUACUCAUUUCAUAUUUAAAUAUGUUACUAGUUCCUGUAUGUUUUCUGCUGUGAUUUUUUCUGUGUGAAGGGGGUGGGGUUGCGGGAUAUAGCUCCAAUAUAUUCCCCUUUAGAUUCAACGUUGGAUAACUAGAAUGUAGUUGAUGCAGUUUCAUUAAUGACAGAUGAAACUGGCUUCUUGUUUAUUUUUUACUUUGUUACGCAUUGUUUUAAUUUAGGGUUGAACUCCUUUAGUUGCUUGCUGCCAGGGUGUGGAGGUUAACCAAAAUGGCAGACAGAGAACUUUUUAGUUUAAUACAUUGUCUUGAUAUUGUUGUGUAUCAUCCUGGACUGUCGCUGUACAGUGAGGUCAAUGUGAUAAAUGGGAUUAAGAGGACAUCACACAGAAGAAUUGGAUUCAGUACAUUUAUGCUAUUUUGCUAUUAGUUGUAAAAUGAGAAUUCGGUUGUCAUUUCCCUUUCGCUGUGCUAAUUGAUGGUUUUCUCUGUGCAGGUUUACGUAUGGCAUAGAGGCUCAGGGGAGCUCAUAGAGGCAUUGCCAGGUCAUUCUGGAGCUGUUAAUUGUGUCAGCUGGAAUCCAACAAACACACACAUGUUAGCCUCAGCCAGUGAUGACCGUACAAUUCGGAUAUGGGGCCUAAAGGAGCUAAAAGUGAAACACAGGGAUGCACACAGCAAUGGCGUCCAUUAUUGCAAUGGGGGAACUUGAAAAAGACUUGAAAAGCAAAUUGCUGGUUAUAAUUUCUCUGACCAUUGCUUUUAUGUAAAUACCUUAUCAUCGUCAAAAUCAGACAUUCAUGUCAAACAAGCAUGUGGAUUGUGCAGCAAGUAUCUAUAAUAAAUCUACUAUUUCAUUUAUAGUAUGUUCAUUCUUUUUCUUUGAAUCAAUUUUUGAACUUUUGUGCAUGAGAAAGUUGACUUGUACUUGAUAAUCCGGUUAGGACUAGUGCUUUUUUUCUUCAGGUAAAUACUUAAAUACAAGGAAAAAUGCUAUAGAGCCAACCCAAAUUGAAUGGGAUAAACUAGUGAUGCAAGUUUCCUCUCCAAUGGAGCUACGUUUGAUUUAUUUUAUUGCUUGCUUUUCAUGUGUAAAUAAGCCGGUAAACCAUGAAGCUUUGGUCAUUAGGGGCAUCCUUUAUCGAUUUGAGCAAUAGUUGACUGGUUUAUCCAAAACUGUUCUGAAGCUCUUUAGAUUCUUUUUCAUUGUAAAUGUCGCUUUGCAUCCCCAUUGGAGAUGCCCUGAGUACCUUAAAGAAUUCUCAAGGUUUUAGUUGGCUUCUGAAUAUCGCAGUAAAACCCUUCUGCUGGCUUCCCAACUUGUCAAUUCUUCCGAUCCUUUUGUUAGGAGUUUGCUUUUCCUGUAUGAUAACAGUGCUUGAAAAACCUCAAUGCUCAGAUUGAACGGAUUUUAAAGAUGCACAUAGACAAUGUUGAGGAGCAAUAAUACAAACAUAGCUUAAAGUCUGAAUUGUGCAAGCAUUAUUGUUGGACAAAACAUCUAGGAUGGUUGAAACUUUAACCAUUCAUUUGUUCUCUUUAUUGUCUUAGAAUUGGGAAACCGUAACCAGAAAAUUGGACCUCCUCUUCAACUUUGUUGGAUACAAUGCCCAAAGUCACGAGAGAGAGAGAGAGAGAGAAGAAACUCAUUUAAAGAGGGUCCUGAAUACCAUGAAAUAUUUCAAUAUGCUCAAGAGUCAAAAGGAUACUCCAACCAGUUCCUCAAUUAUAACCAAAUUAUAAAAAAGAAAGAAGAGAAAAUGAAAAAAAAAAAAAAAAAAAAAAAAAAAACUAGAGAGCUCAAGACAAUUCACAAUCUUAAGAUGAUUUACAUAUACAAACCCUCAAUAAAUUCUUAGGCAACACUGAAGGAAGAUGCAGAGCUCUCCACAAACUUCCUUGCUCCCUUGAACCACCUCUUGUCUCCAGCUUGAGCCUUACAGAUGUAAAGCUUGCCAUCUUUCACUGUGGCUGUGAUGAGCUGGUGCUUGCCACCUUCAUCUCCAUCAGCUGUCCUUGUCAACACAGACAAGUAGUAAUAGGGUUUCCCAUCAACCACUUGACUUGAAGAUUCCAAUAUGUUGGCCGUGGCCACAGCGCCGGAGUCAAAACCACCCUAUACCAAUUCAAAGUCAAAUACCAUCAGAAUUCACAUAGUUGCCACCACUAUGGAUGUUAUAUAUACGCAAGGUCAGGCAGUCGGCAUUUGCUAAAGUAACCAUGCAUUUUAUGGCUGCAGGUAAAAGCUAUCUUCUCUAUUGAGUAUUAUUAGGGUCACCAAAUUUUAUCCGUCAAAUGGUGUUCAGUAUUUCAUUUAUUCAAACCACUCAGUGCUCUGUAUUAUAUAGCAAAUUAUACCUCAGAAUCAGUCUUGCCAAAGUAGGCUUGUUUGCCUAGCAAAUAGUCCACCUACAAAAAGCAACAUAUAUCAAAACUAAAUUGUUAGUAAUUGGCAGUAUUUAAAUGAUGAAGGAAAUGAAAACAUAUAUAUAUAUAUAUUGCAUUGUCAAUGGAAAGAAGGAGAAGCUAUCACACCUUGGUGAGGAAUUCCUCAGGGGAGCCAUAGUCGGUGAUAGAUUUCUUAUCGGUCGGGGUGAUUGUGACAGCCACGUUGCUGGUGGUGUCAAAGUUGUCCUCAUAUCUCAGAACUUGACCAGGGUAUUCAACCUCUUUGCUUGGGUUCCAUUUUGCAGGAAUCGAAAGCUUGAAUCCUUCUCCAACGUAUGGCAAGAAGUCUGUGUUUGUCUUUGGCUUUCCAAAAACGUUGGCUGCAUAUGCAUUUAAUCAGAAUUUAAGUUCAAUUUGGUCGAGGAAAAGAAUAAAUAUAUUAUACAUGGAUCGUUUGUCAAACUGUCAAUUUUUUACCAUAUUUCAUAAAUUUGUAUGUUAUGUUGCGAGACUGUCAAUACUAAAUAAUUAUUCAUAUUGAGACUGUUCGGCAUGAGAACAUUUCUUACCGGAUUCACCAUAAGCUGCAUCAGCAGGGGAAACCUUGGAGCCAAGGGCUGCAGCUCCAAUGAGGACUGUGAGAGCCAAUCGCCGGGAGACGUUAACGGCACCAUCUUCUUCCUGGACAGCCUGCUUCUGAGCCCUGCAGAUCACAAUCUGGUUCUGCUUGACAUUCACCACUUGGCGCUGUGAUGAGGAGGACCUGGCAGAAGCUGUAGUGAGUGCAUGGUGGUGCAAAAAGCAUGCAGUUGAGGCCAUUUCCUUUCACUCACUCUCUUUGUGAUUCUUGUCUGUGUAUAGAGUGAAGUGGGAUUGGUUUUGUGGAAGUUGAGUUGUGGUGCUGAGGAAAAUUGGCUUUGGAUGUGUGUUGUUUGUUUGUGUGAUAUCUGAAGGCAAAUGGUUGGUUAAUUUUUUGGAUAUUGGAUCAGGGAAGUGGAUGAUGGGAAGAUUAGAUUUUGAUGUGGGAUAAGGCUGUAGGGGCGCUCAUUGGUACCACGUGGCAUUGUUCACAUGCUGCUUUUUGUACAUUUUUUAUUUCUCAGUCAUAUGUAUUUGGCAGCUGGACCCUUUGUUUGGUCAUAUGUAUAGGCCCAUUUGAGAGCUGGGCCUACAUAGUUAUGGGCUUCCUUUGAAGUAGAAUAGUUCAAUUGCUGAAAAAUAUGUGGACAUUAAUUUAUGACCUAACAUUUGUCCUCAAACUUUAUGUGGGUAGGUUAUAUUUAACAUUUGUUUCAUAAUAUUCACGUGAAUCGCAUUGUCGUGCAGUAUGUUUCUAGGAUAAUGAUAUAUAACCGACGCAUACAAUAAUUUUCUCAACUCAUAAUUAUCUAGAAUAAUGAUAUAUAACGACGCAUAUAAUAAUUUUCUCAACUCGUAAGUAUCGACACCAAAACCAGAAAUUUCUAUCUACCCUAACAUCACUCAUCUCAUGCUGCUUGAAUUAAGGCUCAUAUAGAAUUCAAUAAUGUAUUUCUAGGAAUACAAAUUAAGUGAGUGAUGAUAACAAUUCAUCAUACAAUUUACAUUUGCAAUUCCAUUUCAAUGGAGUGACUUAUACAAUGGACACAUACAAUAUAUAUGAAGAAUUGGGAAAAUAUAAUCCAUUGUCUAAGCCAAGAUAUUAUGCAGGUAGGGCUUUAAUGUGUUCUUAUAUUAUAUAUACACCAACCCUCUCAAUAAAUGAUUUUUUUAAGGAUUUUUCUUAUUGAGAGGGACGAUUAUAUACUAAAUUUACACACACUACACGAAUGCUAAGAUUCGAAUCCAAAAUCUUUCCUGAAGAAGGGAGCAAUUGCUCCAAACCACUAUAUUAGUGAUCACUUUGUAAUAUAUAUAAUAGAAUGUUAAAACACAUGUGAAAAUGCAUUGAUGUUUUAAUUUGUUAGUUGCAUGCUACCUACCUACAAGAUAAUUGCAUUAAAUUUAUUUAUCUGUAUGAAAAUGUUGAAGGCCUUGAUUUUUAAGCUCCAACAUUGCUUAAUUGGUCAGUCAAAAUACUUCUUUAUUUUUCCUUGACCAGCUCAUAGUACUAGGAAGUCAUUUAGAUUUUGUAUGCUUAGCAAGUAAGUAUUGAUAAUUUUAUCCAAAAAAGGAAAAAAAACAGAACCAACCAGUAGAAAUUAGAAUGAUAUAGUUUGCCAACUGCAAGUCCACACAAGUAACGGGCAUCUGGCGGGCGUUGGACUGCGCUUGUAUAAAAAGAAAACAAAGAUUCCUGUCCUGCACGCCUUUUCCAUUUCUAUCAACUUGUACUGGAACUUCCAUGCUUUCCCCGCACUGCCAUCAUAAUUCAUAAGCUCCUACAAGGAAAACCCAUCAUCUUCUGCUUCUUCAUUUUGCUCCAAUCUCCUCUGAUCAGGUAACCCAUCUUUCAUUUGGCUCUGGUUUCUGCUCCUCUGCAUCUUAUUACUCUUUCUCCAUCUUCUUUUUAUGUUGCGCUUAAAUUUUGUAACUUGCUGUAAUUUUUUUUCUUCAUGGAAUUUGAUGUUAUGAAUUGUACAAAUGGAGUUGAAAAUAUUGUUUUUUCAUAGUUUCUUCUCUUUUUUCCUGAAGUGACUUUGUUAGAGGGCAGUUGAUUUUAGUUCAUAUGUGAAAUAAAAUUUCUGGGUCAUUGAAAUUUUGGUAGAGUUCUGGUGUGUUUGAGUAUUGUGAAUUGGAACUCUUUCUUCUGUGCUUGCCUUGAUUUUGAAUAUCCCAAUAUUUAUAUCUUGGUGGUGUUGGAUGGUGGGGCUGAGUCUUUGGUUGAGAUACUAAAGUAUCUUUACAGGAUAGAUAGAGCUGCUUUAAUCUUCAGAUUGGGAUACUGGAAGGGCAAAACUUUUCAUCUGUGAAGUGUUUUUGUAGGAUCUGCAGUGUAAUGUUUUAAAUUUCUGUAUAUUCUUUUCCUAGUUAGCUUGGAGUAUCUUUUAGGAAAUCUUCCGCGGCUUGCCUUUUCUUGGCAUAAAAGUGUGGGUCACAGGGCCAAUGAGAAAUUGGUUAUUUAGCACUCUGAUGUGUUCUAAGUGACAAGGACUGCCUUGUGCCUCCAUGGUAAUUAAUAUAAGUUGGAGACAUGGAGGUUAGCAACCACAAAUUUUUAUCUUCUAUUGAGGCAGCAGUUAUGUUAGAGCUAGUGGGUAUGAAAGCUGUUAUUCCUGUUUGUUCUUAGUUGUUUCUGUUGAGGCAGCAAUCAUGUUUUGUUGUGUCGAUGUGAUUUGCAAUAUACUGUGUUUUAUUUCAUCUUGUAUUAUCUUUAACUCUUAAUUUGAGGGGCUUUUUGUACUCCUCCGUUCUCUUUUAUACUUUCGCUUGGUGGUUUCAAGAUUUAACCUAUAAUUCAAAGAAAAGAAAUUUUUUGGAAGAAAAAUGCUGAUGCUACUUGUGGUUGUGUGACCUUUCAAAUUUGCUUUUGCAAUAAUUUUUCUUUUUUUGAAUCAUCUUCAUUCCUGUGGUCUACAGUUUUGGGGAAUGAGUCUUGAUGGCUGAGAGAACCUGGUUAGAUUAGAGCAAUUACUAGGAAGUCUGUUCAUAUGAUGUACUCAUUCUCUGCUUCUAUUAUGGGUUUAUAAAGGUUGAAUAAUGCACAUGCACAGAUCUUUUUGCGUUAAUCAUGUAUAACCCAAAUUGACCAUAUGGAUAAGCAAUUUCCUUGUAUCUGAGGCUUCAAAGUACAAUGUUUUACAAUAAGUGGCUUGAAGGGAAAAAAGAAUUGAUAUGUCCUUGCUUCCAAUUAAUUAAUCUCAUUUAGUGUUGUUAUGGUCCCUACUAAGUCUUUUGCAUCUCCCAUGUGUGUAUGUUUCCUAUAAACAUUUCCUGUAUUGAAGCAAGCUUUCAGUGUAUUAUAGUUUCUGCCAUGACCAGAGUUUUGUUCUUGAAGUAUAGGAACAAUGCCUGAGAAAAUAACUCCUGAGGAUCUUUUGAACAACAUUGUGGGAACAUUUGCUGAAAGUAGUUCAAAACAGAAAUCUGUGCCACUUUUUGGGGAAGAGACAUCAAACUCAGUCACUUCUAAGUUGAACCGGCUAUUUGGACGCCAGAAGCCUGUCCACCACCUUUUGGGUGGAGGCAAAUGUAGGAUCAUUAUGUUCCAAUACAUGCUUGAGCAUUUUUUUAUGCAAUUAGAAGUUGUUGCUUCCGCUAAUUCUCCUUGCAUUGUUUCUCUUUUUAUGCCUGAACUAUGUAGCUGCUGAUGUCUUGUUGUGGAGGAACAAAAAGAUAUCAGCUAGUGUUUUAACUGGUGCAACUGUUACCUGGGUGCUCUUUGAAUGGCUCAAUUAUCAUUUCUUGACUCUUGUGGGCUUUGCUUUGGUUCUUCUUAUGCUUGCUCAGUUCCUUUGGUCAAAUUUUUCCGGCAUAAUUAGCAGGUGACGUCAACAUGCUCAGUUUUGAGCUUCUAUUUUGCUUGGUUGGGUGAUGUUGUGUACAGUAUAGCUGAAUGUUGUGAUCUGAGUAUUGUGUUCUCCAUGGUGGCAGGUCCCCAUCUGAAGUACCUCGCCUUGUUGUGCCUGAUCAAUUAUUUGUCAAUAUUGCCAUCUCGAUUGGUCAUGAAAUUAAUCGAGCCUUGGAAUUUAUUCAAGAUGUUGCACUUGGAGGAAAUUUGAAGCAAUUUCUUAUGGUAUGUUUGGAUGAUUAUAUUCUUUUCAUACAUAUGAUUGUAUAUAUCAUAUACAAAGGUGAUCUGAUUAAGAUCCAUGUGAGGAACUGGAAGACUUGUGCGUCGGCUGUUAGAUUAGAUAUGAAUGACCAGAAUAGAACUAAUCCACCCUCACUCACUAUGCAUCUCAACCAUCUAAAUUUUACCUAAAGACUGAUAUGCAAGUCCUCAAUUUAAUUUCUAGAACAUCACCAUAUCUAUGUUAUGAAAAGCACUUUCUUGGCUUGGCUUUCACUGGUUUCUUGAUAUUAGCAGUAAAUGCAUUUUAGGCCUCAAAACCCCAUGCUAUCAUGCUUUUAGUUAACAUGACGAUUGUAAUGAACUGUUGAGAUAUUAUCUCAGGUUGUAGCAAGCUUGUGGGUUGCUGCAGUGAUAGGAAGCUGGUGUAAUUUUCUGACCGUUUUGUACAUUGGUGAGAGAUCCAACCACUAAUAAUAUCGAGUCUCUUAUGAACUUAUGAUCUGAUGACCAUGUGUUCUGUUGAUGGUAUGGUUAAAGUUUGGGAUAACCAUGAAUAUUAUUGGAGAGAAUUUGAUUGUUGUCAGAAGUUUGAAUAUUGUUACUUCAGCUGCAUAAUAAAAUAUGAGUUGUCUUUCAGUAUUUUGCACUUGAUGCUUCACUUGCUCUACAUGGAAUUGAAACAUAAGUUCCUGUUAGUAGUAAGUAGUAUCCUUAGCCGUAGUGGUGGAAAAUUAAGCUCUCUCUCUCUCUCUCUCUCUCUCUCAGAAACCUGUGGCUUCUGAGGUAAACUCAUGCUUCUAGUCUCAUUUCAGUUUAAAGAUGAUAUUUGAUGAAGUAUGUAAUUCCUUCCUUUUGGAUUUUAUCACUGGAAUUUGUUUAUUACUAGUGAAGAGUAUACAUAUACUGUAAUAUUCAUGAAUGCUGUAUCUUAAAAAAGAAAAGAAAAAGAAAAUAUGAUUACCUCGUUGAAUUUGGAAGCGGUUUAGAACUGCCAUCAACUUAGGAUCAUGGUGCCUUUCUUGCUGAGGGUAAUUAUAGAGUUCUUUUAUUAUUCAUGAUUUAUCUAUCUGAUUGAGCUAGACAUGCUUAUAAGAGUUAUAUGAAGCUUACUGAUAAUCCGUCUUUGCUUUUAUGGUACAUAAUAUGGUUUUUAUUAAUAAUAUUGUUAUCCUGGUAUAUAUGGAAGAGAAUUGAUAUAGGUCGUUGUUUCUUAGGUUUUGUUGCUGCUCACACAUUGCCAGUUCUGUACGAGAGAUACGAAGAUCAGGUCGACAACUUUGCAUACCAGGUCCUUGGGCAGCUUCAACAUAAUUAUCGGAAGCUCGAUACCGGUGUCCUCAGCAGGAUCCCAAAAGGAAAGGUCAAUUGGAAGAAGCAUGAUUAGAUACGUUUAGCAACAUAAAUAAUGUUUAGCCAUCUCUGCAGUUGAUUGGAAAAUAGCAUGUUCCAGCAGAGGGAAAACAAGGGGUGAAAAAACAAUUAAGUAUUAUUGUUUAUAGGGUCAGAAACUGGACAGUUGUGAUUAUUCCAUGUUAGUAAAACCGUUCAGUUAUUGUGAAGGUUCAAAUUCAUCUUCCAUUUGAUCAAUUCUCGUUUUGAGAAGUAACCAUUGCAGAAUUAGCAUUAGCUUAAACCAAAACCAAGAGGUUAAAACCACAUGCAAGGAUCAGUUGGGUUGAAACCAUGUCAACUGGUUUCAACUUUCAUUUUCAUGGAAAGAAGAACGGGGCAUCUGGCUUUCUUUAUUGAAAAUCAGGACCACAUCAUAGUUGGUGUGUAUUUUACCAUUACCCUGAUGAGGAAAUCUUGGGUAGUUUAUGUAAAUGAGUCGUAUAAUACAUCACGGCUGAGAGUCACCCACACAUGUUAGUAUAUUUCUGUCUUUCCCUGAAAACAUUAUAACAUCCGUUACUCUAGUACUAGUGCAGUCUGAGUAACGCCAAUACUACCACAGGCACAGGCACUUUUAAUCCUUCACCCCUAUUGUUACUUUUGUUUUGCCAACGUCUAACAGUUGUGUAAAAACAGGGUUUAAGUUAGAAUUUUGAGAUUUCAAUUACUUGUGGCUACACUACUACAAUAAAGUUAAUAGACAACGGGUUUUAGCUGGUGUUGAAAGUCUUCUAAAAUCGUUGAGGUUGGGAGUUUUCUACCUAUUAAUGACAACGGUAAAAAACCAUUGUAAUAUGUCACUUUCAACAACUGUUUUUCUAAAACCGUUGUCAAUUCUCAUAUAUAAAACGGUAUACAAGAGCGACCGUUGCAAUAUGACCCUUUCAAUAAUGGUUUUGCUCAAUAACCGUUGUAGUAUUAUGCUUACUGUUCAAACUAACCGUUAUAAAAUUGAACUUUCACAAGAGUUUCUCUGUCUAUGGUCGUGGUGAAGGCAAGGCUAUGAGGUGGGAAGAACAAGACUGUGGAGAGAGGUAGACGCGAGAGACAAGAGAUAGAAGAGAGAACUAUCGGGGCUUAAGAAAAAAUAUUAAAUCACUGUUCACUCCGUGUUUUUUUUUUUUUAAAAAAAAAGCUUCAAUUACAACGGUUCAAACAAAAAUCGUUGUGGAAAGUUGUAAAAUAAAAUUAGAAAAUCACACCCUAAACCACAACGCUUAAAAACCCCUUUUGACAACGAUGACGUAAUAACCAUUGUAGAAGAAACAAUUACAAUGAUUUCGGAGCCAACCAUUGUGUAUUCAACGUCGUCUUUUUGAAUAUUUGUAGUAGUGCUAGUAAUAUGUAACUAUAAGUAAAGUUGAAAAUUUAAAGAACAAAAGAUGAUGAAGAAGUAAUUGGUUAAUUAACAAGCUUAUACUGAUUCUCGAUCGAUGAAAAGGUUGUGGACCUAUUGGUACAAUGAAAGAAAACAAGAAAAAGCUAGCUAGACGGCCUGUAGAGAGGUAUAGCUCUAAACAGUAAAGCUGUAAAGAUAUCAUUACAAGGUCCAGAAAAUUAUGGGAGAAUUUUCCACGUUGUUUGUCCUACUUUCAGAUCAGUAAGAGAUCUCAGACAUGCACAUAUAGCUAGUAAUGUUUUUGUUUAUAAUAUUUUGCUGGAAUUUUUUUUUAGUACAAACGAUUAGGGGAAAUGAACUUAUACAAAUAUUUAUUAGAUGUGUGUAGGUUUUAAAUCUUUGUUCAUAUGAGUGGAGAUAGAAAAACUCAACCAAUUACGCUAUAACCCGCUGAGAAUUUUGCUGGAUAUUUACAUAUGUGAGAUUUGAGAACCUUAAGGGCAUGUUUGGCAGGCUGGACUAAUCUGGACAGUGUUAAAUAACAUUUUAAAACCCACGUUUGGUGAAAGAGGGACUAACAUAAAUAGGAUUGUAUAGUCCACUGAUGAAAAAAUCACCGGACUCGCUCGUCCAAUACUGCGAGGAUGAAAAGCAGUUCGCAAAAUAGCGAGCGUGCUAUUUUGAAACAUCGAGUUCAACCCACACAGCGACCUUCAUGAGCUGCUCCUGGUUGAUGAGGAUCCUCCUCGUUCAUGUCGGGCAAGAUGGCGGUGAGUAGAUCCUCGAAUUCGAUGGUGCCGUUUCCGUUAGCAACAAGGAUGUGGAGCUAGUCGCCGGUGGGCUUGAGGUUGGGAAAGACCUCCAUACCUGCCGAUCUGAGUACAGAAAUGCUUGUGUAAGAAAAUGGGUCGACUAUUCCACUGAUUGCGAUGAUACCAAUCCCUCAUAUCCCUUUUAUGAUUUUGAGAAGAAGGAAUUACAAAAACAAAGCAAGCAGGGACCUUAUUAUGGUUACUGGAUUCGCAGGGUAUGCUACCAGGAAGAAGGAAGGGAUCAAAAAGAUCCCAAUUGUGUUUUGGUAUUUUUUUAAUUUUAAUUUUGUGGUGUGGUUUGUCAAAAGUUGUGGUGUGGGGUUAGUUGGGUUUAUUCUAAUUUUCUCUUUGGAAAUCUGGAAAGAAAGACACAGCCAGAGAGAGAGGAAGACAGACGGGAAAGAAAGGCAGAAGGAGAGGGAGGAAGGAAGAAGGAAAGAACGAGAUAAUGGUUUUUUUAUUUUUUAAAUAAAAAAUUAAUUUAAAAAAAAAUUCACACAUCAACCCCAAUUAAAUAUCCCUAAUUAAAUAUAAAUAUUUUUUAAGUCAAAAUAUUCAAUUAAAUUUAAAUAUUACAAGAAUUAUUUUUUAGUCCGACACAGCACCAAACAUAGGUCUUCACUAUUUUACAAUCUAGCUUCUUAGUCCGACACAGCACCAAACGUAGGUCAGUACUUAAUCCAGCUUAGUCCAAUCCGAAUUAAUCCAAGACAGUCUUAGGAUUUAAUCCAGUUCAUGACAGUCCGUCGUACCAAACGACCCCUAAGUACUAGAGUCAGUCGAAUAUUUGUGAGGUAACCAUGUGGUCAACUGGUCAUCACUUUUUUGUUUCUUUCUGGAGUCAGUCGAAUAUUUGUGAGGUAACCAUGUGGUCAACUGGUCACCACUUUUUUGUUUGUUUCUCUGACAUGUGCGAUUUGGUGAAGAUAUGUUAGAUGGCAAACACAAACCAGAUCUUAUAUUUUUGUAUUUGGAACAUCGACAAAAUAAUUAACAAGCGACAGCCUGCAGCCAGUAUGAGCAGUGACUCUAUAUCAUGUGGGAUUCUCAGUAAGGCGCGGAUCCAAAUCUAACACAGUACUUUCACAUGAUGUUCAAGUACAUAUUGUUUGCUUCUGCUGAUUAAAUAGUCGAGUUGAAGUCGGCAAUUAGCAAGUGGUAUUGUGUAUAUUUCUCUAAUCAUUAAUCUAUAUAUAGACCAAAAUGAAAAAACAACUAUACUUUAUUUUUAAACUCUUUGUAUUAAUUAUAACUUGGGCGAAUCUGUAUCGACAUCAAUAUCGAACCAUCAAUAGCAUGAUAAAUAAUCGACAUAACGUGUCGAUAUGAAUCCCACCUCAGCUAAAUCAUGAGUGCAGAGCAUAUGCACAAAUAAUUAAUUAGAGCUAGACUUCCUAAAUCAUGCAUGAACAUGUUUAAUUAACAGUGAUUGGCCUGCAGGUUUCACAAAACAUCUGUGGCUAUAGAAUGAAGUACGUUGCAUCUAUAAAAGUCGUAUGUGUAUUUUCAAGGCGAUAUCGAUUGCAUGGAUGGUUGUGAAUAAAAGAGGACCAAAAAUAUCAAGAUAUACAUACACCUGCAUAUAUAUAUAUAUAUAUAUAGAAAUGUAUAUAUAAUAUCUAGAGCCACCUGUGUGUGUGGAGUGGACAUGAGGAGAGAGCUCGAGAGAGCGUGCAUGGACUGCUGAUUCCAUGCUUGGAAUGUGCAAUGCAGCCACCUUCCAUGAGUUUAGCUCACGUAGCGGGCCCUCACCUGCCUUUUAGCACAAAUGUGUGGAGCUACCUUAUUAUAUAUAUAUAUAUAUAUCACCUCCCUUUCUCUCCUUUUCACUCAUUAUACAUACAAGAUUCUCUCUGAAUAAUCUCUGCCUUCUCAUAAUCCUCAAGAGGCAUGUAACAUGUAUAUAAUACACACAGAUAUCUUCUUUGAAUGUUUAUUUUCCAAAGGGAAAAGAACAAGUUUUGGAAUAAUUACAAGUUGAGAACUGUCAUUAGAUGAUACGUAUAUAUAAUCUUAAUUACUCAGAGGUUAAUUAGAAGUUUAGAACCUACCUAUAGAGGGCAGGGAAACGUUUGAAAGAUUGAUGUAUAUACGGCGAUAUAUUCGUGUCUGCAAACCAUGUAUGUCUGAAAGACGUAUAUUUAUGUCUGCAGACGCAUGUAUAUAUACCUACAUGUCAUCAGCUACUACCUCUUCUGUGCAUGUACAGCACCAUAGACAUGUAUGGGACAUCAAUUAAAAGCUAAUCUCUUUUAGAAUCGAACAUGGCUUGGACACACACCUUCACACACACACACACACACAUAUCUGUUUCUGUUUAUUUUUCCAUACAUAUAUAUGAAUUAUGAUUCAAACACACAAAAUAUUAUGUUGUGAAAUAUUGAAAUCCACAUUUUGAAAGGGUUCCAAACUAGAAGAAAACUUAGCAAUUGCCUUUUUCUUUUUUAUGCAUGUAUAUAUGUAUAUUAUUGGUAUUAACCCUUAAAACUAGAGAUUGCUCGGUUCAUAUCUUUUAUGCAAUGAUGAUACCAAAACUUGAAUUUGGUGUAUUAUAAAGUAGUGAUGUUUAACAAAUACAUUAUACUUAUGCAUAUACACACACACACAUAUGUAUAUCUAUCUAUAUAUACGUACACAGAUGCAUAUAUGUAGUCGACGAUACAUUUUCGUAGAUAUCUACAAUAUCAAUCCGCAUAUCCACAAUCCUUAAAGACAUGAUAUCUUAUGAUGUGAAGCUGAGAAUCUCUCCUACGCAGGGGCGGAGCUAGAAUUGUAAGAUUGAGGGGGUCGAGAUAGAAAACACAAGUAUAUCAAAUACAUACAAGUGUUCAAAACGCAUGUUAGAACUAAAUUUUUCAAAAUUAGUCAUGUCUAAUUAUUUUUAAAGGGGCCAUUAAUUAAAAUUACAAGUUGUCUAUUAGUAAGUUGUAAGGGAUCAAAAAAAUGGAGGGCUCAGGGCCACUCCUGGCCUAGGAGUGGCUCCUCCACUGCUCCUGCGUCUUAUCUUUAUGAGUCUAUAAAGAGGGGAAGGACUUGAGUUUCAUGAAUUAAAAACCACUAAUUGAUUUCUCAAAUAUACAGGUAUAUCGAUCUUUCGCUCAUUUCUGUUCCCAAAUGGUGAUUUUUACCAGCAAGAAACCUGGCUUUUCCAAGUUGGUUAUGAAUGAGGACCAAGUCCCAACUCUCUCUCUUUAUACAGAAAAUGAUGGGGACGACGAUGAUGACGACGAUGAUGGAGGAGAUGUGGCGCCAGCAGCAUAGUUAUCAUAGAUUCAUAGUGUUUAUGAAUAAGAGUGGCUUAAGCUUUGAUACUUUCAUCAACUUGAGCUGAACAGAACAUUUGGCAAUAUAUAUAUAUAUAUAUAUAUUGUAAAGAAUCAGCUGCAUGUUAUAAAUUUAUAUUCAUAGGGCAACUAUUUUGUAGCAUACCAUAAUAUUAGGUGUAUGCAUGCAAUUUAAAUAAGCAAAAGAUACCUCCGGUGUGCUUAUACAGUCAUACGCACCAGAGCCAUCUGAGAAAAAAGAAGAAGAAGAAGAAGAAGAAGAGGAGGAAGAAUUCAGGUGUCUAUGUUUUACGACUUUUGGUUGUCUGGGGUGCUCUUCCCCUUAUAUCAUCCUCAUCAUGAGUUGGACAGCUUCUUUUUAUUUUGCAAAGGGCCAGAAAGAGAAAAAUAUUACUUGUAUAUGAUUACUGAGAUCAUGUAUGGCAGCAUGCUGCAAUAUUAAAUUUUAAUAAUAAUUAGUGAUAUCUACUUAUUCGGAGUACGUAAUAUCAAUCUCUCUCUCUCUCUAUUAAUUAUGUCUAUCUCCCCGUAAGUCCAUCCAUUAAUAUAUCAUGGCAACUGAAGAACAUGGAUCUUUUAAAGGAUUUCUUUAUAGAGUUAAUUAUCUUCUUGAUCAUUUCAAUUUCCCCCUUUCAGUUUUGUAUUAUGCUCAAGCAUGGAUUUAUGUUAAUUCAUUUUCCAUUACUAUAGCUGAGCAUAAAAUCCGUGAACUGAGUUUAGAAAAUGUAAGUACUGUGUUUUUUUCCUUCUUAAUUAUAUUUGGUUAUCUUGUCUGCUAGGGUUUUUCUGAUUUCUUGGGUUUAUUUUUCUUGAAAUAGUUUGAAAUAUGUGAGGUUUGGUGCUUGAUAGAUUCAGGUUCACUUGUUUUGCAGCGAACGUCAUUCGCUACCUUUCGUUACAUUAAGUUCAUUUUGAAAUUUGAGACAAAUAAGGUAUUGAUUUGUGGAGAACUGCUGAAAUUUUAAUUUGAGGGUUGUGAAUCUGUGAUCAUAACUUCAGCUUGGAGAACAAUGGCUAGAGGAGCUUCGGUACGUUUAUUGCUUUAUACAAAGUUGCCAUAUAGGCUAGCUGGGAAUAUUGAAAACAAGUUGAAGAAAGUGCUUUCCUUGCUUUACUUUUGUCCGCAUCAAAAGGGUAAUUAAAUUUUCUUCCUUUUAUGACUGCAUAGCUGCAUAGUUGCAUAGCCUUGUCCUUUUUCAUGUAUUCUGAAAUUCGUUGAAUGUAUGUAUACUUUGUGUUUGGUACACUUUGUACUAAUAAUAUGCUAAGGCGCAGCUUGUUAUGCUUGUUCUUUUCAACUAUUCUGUGAGCCCGAUAAAUAAUAGUUCAUUAUUUGUUGCUUCACUUUGCCAAUAUUGCUUGAGGUGAGUUACCUCAAGCAAGAGCAUGAUCUUGGACUGCAAAUUUUCAUGGUUAUUAAGUUUGUAGGUCAUUUUAGAGCAUUAAAUCGACAUAAAAAGAUCUAAAUUUCUGUUAUGUGAAGAUUCAUGCGAUAGGAUUAGUGAGCUGCCAAGAAAUACUAUUGUCAUUCAGGUAUUUGGGUUGGAUUGCUCCUUGUUCUUGUUGUCUUUUGCACUUUACAGUAAUUUGAGAACAUUUUUAUCUUCUAUGCAGGCUCAGAAAGCAGAGAGGGAUGCUACAGAUUUAUAAACUUAGAGUUUGGUGAAAAGGUAAAACAUGAAUUGAAGUUUUAAUUGUAGUUUAUGUGACUUCAAAGUUGAUGAAAUAAUAUAUUGGUCUAUUAUCUCUCGUCUUUUGCAGUGGGAGAAGGGAAAUAGCACAUACACCCAACAACAACUUGAUGAACUGAGAAAUGAAUGGGUAGAAUUUGUGAGUCAUCGCAUGUACUAGCUAUAUAUGUAGUUACCUAGUCACUAUUUUGUGAAUUUUGGCUAUAAAUAGUUAGCCCUAGUCACUAUUUUGUGAAUUUUGGCUAUCGAUAGUUAGCCUACCUAUAUGUAGUCAUCAUGGAGUAACACUAUAUGUUGUAUAAAUGUGGUAGGGUUUUGAACUAUGACAGAAUUGUUAAAGUAAGAUGUAUCUUAAGCUUUUAUGAAAAAUGCAGGUUUUUGAGUAUGAAUAGUCCAUUUGGACCUCAAUAUCCAGGUUGUAUGUAAACAUGGGUGGGUUUCUUGUUCCACAGAGGUAUAAAAUCAUCUUCCCAAUAUGCAAAUCCAAAAUAAAACUACGAUUUACCUUAAAAUAGCAACGUAGAAAUAAGUGUAAGUAGAAAUAAGGAUGACACGUCAAAUUUAUUUUUAAAAUAUAGACGUAGUAAGUCUAGAACUACGUCCAUUUUUAUUAUCAAUUUGACAUUGUAAGAUUCAUACUACGUCUACGACACAUACCACAUCGCUUCUCAAGUAAUACUUGACGUAGCUGUUAUUCAAAAACGUCUAUUUUAUUUUAAAAAAGUGACGUGGGAUAAUACUUCCUAUGACGCUUUUUAAGAUAUAGGGACAUAGAAUGUUGUUUUAAGCAUCGAUUUUUCUUCUAAUGGAACUCGAACGAAGUUGCCUUUGGACAAAAAACGACGUGGAUUAAUAUAUUGCACGGUGGUGAAUCACCGUCGUGGUUAAGGUUUUUAAACCAUGUCGGUAGAGUAGACAUUGCUUUUUCACCUUGAACCACGACGGUUUUCCACCGUCAUUGUUUUCAAUUUUUGGCAUAGUGUAUAUUGCCUCGAUCGUCAUCGUAUCGAUUAGUAACACCAAAAAUACAUCAAGAACUUAUAGGAGAAUAUUAACCUAGCUAUAUUUCAGAGUCAGAAGAUAAUCUAAUUGCUUUUGUUGUUAUAUGCCCUUUUCUUUCACAUAUAACAACUAGCUAAGGCAAUAUCUAAUAUUUAUGAGACUUGCUAUAAUCCUAUCAUCAUGCUCUAACAGAAUCUAAGUUUAUUUUUUUUUUUCUCAUGAAACUUACAAAAGCUUGAGAUCUCUAAACACACCAUUCCACCUAAUCCAUCUCAUACAAUUUGAACAAAAGUAUAUGUGGGUUGAUUAACCAUAUAUAGUCAUAUAAUAAGAAUAUAUGCAUGCAUAAAAAAGAAGUGUCAAUAGGAAUGUAAAAAAAAAAUUUGAUGACUAGCUAGGAUUGUAUUGGAUUGGAAAAGUCAUUAAUCUAAGAUAUGUUGUUAAAGGAGGAAAUGAAGGUCGGUGAAUGAUUUUUCAUUUUGGGGGCGAUUAGGAAGGAUAAUUUAUAAAAUGUUGCUAUCCUACCAUUUUGUGGGGAUUAUGGGAUAAGUUUUCUUCAUUUUUUUUAAAUUUUUUUUUAGGACCUUUCCUAUUGAAAGGGACGAUAAUUAACAUAUUAAACUUACACACACUACAUGGAUGUUAGGACUCGAACCCAAGACCUUUUUUGUGAUCCAAACCACUACUAGUGGGUCCUUUACAAAUAAGUUUUCUUCAUGAGUAAUCUAUUUUUUACCUUCAACAUGACCAUGGGUUUUUCAUUUCUUCCUAUAAGACCAUCCACAAUGGUAAGGUGUAUAUUGAGGUGUAUGUCAAAUAUACACAUUUGGUUGCCGGAAUGUCCUGCAAUGGGGAGGUAUAUAUGGCUAUAAAUGUACAUCACAACCAUGAGAUGAGAAAAAAAGAUACAAAAAUGUACAUCUAAUUUUACACCCAGCCAAGUUGGUCCCGUAACAUAAAAGCCAAGAGAGAAGAGAGAGGAAAGCUAAAAGAUGGGGAAGUUAUUAAAAUGGUAGGCUCAUGGCGUGGAAGUUCUUCUCCAACAAAUCUCUAAUAUAUGGCCAUAUUUCAUUCAAAUUGAAAUAUGAAACUAAUAAUUGCACUGAUCAAUGGUGAAGAAUAAAUUCAUAUCAAAACUGACGAUUCAUAUUAAUUUUAUUUACAUCAUAUUGAAUGAAAUUAUAUCUUAUCAGAAUUUUAAAAUUUUUAAGUCGAUUUGUUCAGAAAAAAUAAUUAAACCUAACACACACAAAAUUAACCCCAAAAUAUUAACAUUAAAAAAAAAUUUGACACAAAAAUUGAAUUAAUACAAGAAAAUCGGAUUUACAUCUUUGAAUCUGCAUCCAACUCAUUGGAGCAAAAAUGAUAUUUGCAUCUCCUGAAGGUGUAAAGGAGAUGUAAAAGUGGCUUUACACCUCCCCAUUGUAGAUGCUCUAACAUACUUAAAAUAUAGGAAGUUAUCAUAUCCAACCCUCGCUAGACAUCAAAUGAGCCCAAAAUUUCACCCAAAAAGAAAUUGGUAUACAUAUAUAUAGUGAUUUCCAAAGAAAAAUUUGAAUACGUUGGGUUCAAUCUCCAAAAUACAAACCACAAUGAAUAUUUUAGAAAAAGGGGUACGUAAUAUCCAGCGUGGCAGACGAGCUGGAGGUGACAGUGGAGCCUGAGAGCGUGCAUGGACUGUUGAUCCCACAUACCGAAUGCGCAGCGCAGGCACUUGCCAUGAGCCUAGCAUACGUCGACAGACCUACAUCCCACUAGGAAAAACGUAUGGAGGGCAGCCCUGCCAUGUCAUCGCUCCCUCCUGUUAGCGCCAAAUUUCGUUGCCCUUUUCAUGUCAACGUGUCCAAUAUCAAGAUCUCAAACAAAUUACAGAGAUCGCAGAAGAAAGCAACAUGUCUGUUGGAAAGGAUAUGGAAUAAGAAUUUGCAUAUGCCAAUAUGAUGAUAUUAUCCCUUUCCCUAUUAUAAAUAUGCAGACAUGUACUGGUGCAGUCUGCAACUAGCUUCCGCAUACACACUGCAUGCUUAUUUAAUUUCUUUGGUCAAUUUCUUAGGUAAGCAGGUCCUUUUUCUUUUUCUUUUUUCUAUAUAAACCCUAUUUUAUAUAUGUCAGUUGCAAUGGUGAGUGUCAAUAGCAAACAGUUACUUGCUGCUUCCAAGUUGGUUUUUAAAAAGGAGGAGCUGUCCAAGACACAGUUUCAUGUUCACCGGAAGAAUGAUUGGGAUGAUGAUGACGACGACGACGACGAUGAUGCGGGCAGUGUUGCACCAGCCGCAUAGCUAUAUAUAUGUUUAUUGGCAUUGAGAGAAUUUGAGGCACUUCCCAGCCUCCUAGGAGUGAGCUUUGACACACUAGUUGAACAAUGUUGUGCUUUGGCACUAGUUGUCUCAGUUAAAGAUUGUUUUUUGUUUUUAAGGAGUUUCAAAUCGAGUACUAUUAGAACAAAAGAGAAAAACAAGUUUCUCGACUCCCUCUGCUAGCUUGUCUUGUUUUUAAUAGUACGUUGACUGAAUAUUAAUCUAAGCUUAAAGUUCAUUACAAAAUCCGAAGUUAUCUGCUUGUCUUGUUUUUUAAGUUUUUAAUGUAUAGGGCCACCAAUAUAAUAAACCACUUCAUUUUGAAAGGCCGAAUAACCAUGCAUAUUCUGAGUCUGUGAGGCAAG
RNAcentral lists this long non-coding RNA (27816 nucleotides) under Prunus persica (peach). RNAcentral describes it as "long non-coding RNA (PPER_LNC003768)". The record is from RNAcentral. Lineage: Eukaryota; Viridiplantae; Streptophyta; Magnoliopsida; Rosales; Rosaceae.